GCCGGUGUGGCGGAAUGGCAGACGCGGGGCACUCAAAAUGCUCUGUCGAAAGACGUGUGGGUUCGAGUCCCACCACCGGUACGA
RNAcentral lists this transfer RNA (84 nucleotides) under Microbacterium testaceum. RNAcentral's name for it is "tRNA-Leu". It matches the Rfam family "tRNA". Rfam says of the family: Transfer RNA (tRNA) molecules are approximately 80 nucleotides in length. The record is from RNAcentral. Lineage: Bacteria; Bacillati; Actinomycetota; Actinomycetes; Micrococcales; Microbacteriaceae. RNAcentral also lists the same sequence under 1 other name.